AUGUGUAGAAUUAGUGCAUACACCGUGCAUGUGUCCGAACCGUCCCAUUGCAGGGCAUUAUGUGUAGAAUUAUCUUCACUCCAACAUAUUCUCCUGCAAAAAAAUAUCGCGGUUAAUGUGUUCUCAUGUACUUAUUUGCAUUGUGUAUUUUGUAAGCACAAGGAAACACGACACGCAACCACAAAAUGUAACACUGUAAUGUGCUCGCUCCAAAACAAACACACAGAAGCAAAACAAACUGUUCUGGUGCAUAGAAGAAUAAGGUACAACUUGCAUAGAAGAACAAGGCCCACACACAGAAAAUAA
This 306-nucleotide ribosomal RNA is filed under the name Triticum aestivum (bread wheat). RNAcentral describes it as "partial small subunit ribosomal RNA". The record is from RNAcentral. Lineage: Eukaryota; Viridiplantae; Streptophyta; Magnoliopsida; Poales; Poaceae.